Molecule: ribosomal RNA, 425 nt
Filed under: uncultured bacterium
Lineage: Bacteria
Description: bacterial SSU rRNA
Rfam family: Bacterial small subunit ribosomal RNA
Source: RNAcentral
GUGGGGAAUCUUGCGCAAUGGGCGAAAGCCUGACGCAGCCAUGCCGCGUGAAUGAUGAAGGUCUUAGGAUUGUAAAAUUCUUUCACCGGGGACGAUAAUGACGGUACCCGGAGAAGAAGCCCCGGCUAACUUCGUGCCAGCAGCCGCGGUAAUACGAAGGGGGCUAGCGUUGCUCGGAAUUACUGGGCGUAAAGGGCGCGUAGGCGGACAGUUUAGUCAGAGGUGAAAGCCCAGGGCUCAACCUUGGAAUUGCCUUUGAUACUGGCUGUCUUGAGUACGGGAGAGGUGAGUGGAACUCCGAGUGUAGAGGUGAAAUUCGUAGAUAUUCGGAAGAACACCAGUGGCGAAGGCGACUCACUGGCCCGUUACUGACGCUGAGGCGCGAAAGCGUGGGGAGCAAACAGGAUUAGAUACCCGGGUAGUCC